UAGGCAAAACUAAAUUGUAUAGUUGCAUUAAUUUUUAAUUAGAUUUUUGGGGAAUUUUGCCCGAUACCCCUAUUUGAAAGCCUUUAAUGAAAUAUACCCCUCUCCUUUCAAGGUUUUUUGUUUUACCCUUUUAUUUUUUAAUAUUCCUAAACUAUCCUUUUCAAAUAUCAAAAGGAAAAAUACACAUGAAAUGCCCAACGAAAAGAGGAAAGGGAAAAUGAGAGAAUGGCGAAGCAGCUACCAGAGAGUUCUUCAGGAGGAGAGAUGAGUGGAGGAAGCAUCCUAGGUUCAGUAAUUAGCCCAGCCAUGCCCUUCUCGGUUUUGGCCUUGGAGUCUCGUCAUCGACAUCUACCUGAUCGACAAGCAAAUCUACAGCAAACUCCUUGGUCCUUCCUCCUCCUCCUCUUUUGGGUCUGCUUUUAAUGGUGUGGUCUUUCCUGGGUUUUUCAAGAAAUCUUCAAAAUGGAAAAAUACAAUUAGAAUCCUAUCAUCAGAACCCUAGCUUGGUUUUUGUCAUAGGGACUUGCCAAAUGGAAGUUUGUUUUGGAAGCUGCAGCAGGAGGAAUCAUCCAUGCCUGCAAAGCCAAAGGAUCAGACCUAUGAUUUCAUUUUAAGGAUUGCUACGUUGACAUCUGCUCCCCAGAGUGUCUUUAUGAGUCUUUUGAGGAAGAAGCUAGAUAUUUUCAGUUUGCUACGGCAAUAACAUUGAAUGAUAUUGAUGAAAUAUAGAAGUUUCUUGAUGCUGCUGUUGAUGCAAGAGAAGCUCUUAGUGUAGCAAAAGUCGUAGCUGCAAUGAUUGCUUUAUUUAUAAUCCUUUUGUUAGAAGUCCUUGGUUGGGAUGAUUGCUUAAGUGAGAUAUUAGCAUGGGAUACCUUGGCUUGGUUUGUUGUUCUAGAGUGGGCAUGGCCAGGCAACUGACAAAUCUUGGUAAUGUAACCCGGAUGUCUAGCUGUGUUGCCAAGUUACUUCAAUCCUUCUCUUUGAGCUGACUAGCUGCAUUUGGUGUUCUUCAGGCAUCUUAUUUCUUUAUCCACUACCUAUUUGCAAGUCAUUUUUUACCUCAAGAUUAGUUCACAAACAAUUUGUAAUUUUUGCUAUUUGCAUACUACAUCUAUCUUGUAUGAUAUAAAAUUAUAUUCAAAAUUUGUU
Molecule: long non-coding RNA, 1149 nt
Organism: Ziziphus jujuba (common jujube)
Lineage: Eukaryota; Viridiplantae; Streptophyta; Magnoliopsida; Rosales; Rhamnaceae
Exons: 5
Source: RefSeq, a predicted model, not a curated record